AUGGUGUAUGAAAUGGCAUCCUUGAAGACCUUGUUGUCGCCGUUCCUCGCCGGUGAUCUUGAGGGACAUAGCUUGAUUAAUAUAAUGGUGUGGCCUCUAUUGGUGAGCAGGGUCUGCUAUAAAAUCGAGAAGAAUACAGGGAGGAGUGAUGGGUCUGCACCUUUACCUCAACGGAAAACGAAGACAUUACCUCAACGGAAGGCGAGCGGUGUUCUGAAGAAACUGGAGAAGGACGAGUCGCUAGACUGGGACAAGUACAUGAAGUAUUCUCAGAGAGGAGCUCCAACUCAUGCCCUAGAGUGUGAGGAAGAAGCAGGGGGUGGUGGCCUUGGAGAGAAGGGUGGGCGCUUGCGGCGGUGGAGGAGCCACGCUUGCUGGCUGCAGUGUCUACUCGGGGUGGAGGUGGAGCGAAGCAGCGGUUUCGCGCAAGGCCUGGCUGAGGCCAGCGAGUUUAGGGGUUGCCGUGCCCUGCAUACUUGGCCAGGUUUUUGUGUUGCAAAAAACCAUUGCAUGAACAUGUGCCAGGCAUGGCCCAAACAAGAAAGUGAAAGGGGCGCUAUCCCACCUGGGACCGCCAAGGGAAGAGAGCCGCAGCCGCCUCGAGCAAUGGAGUCCGACUCCUCUUUUUCUCUCCGCACGCAACCUCUCCUUUCCUCUUCUCCUAGGGUUGCGUCGCCACCGCAGCCUACUCCGACGCCGUCCACUGGAGAAAGCGUUCUCCCCAGAUCCGCUUCUCCCCCAAACCAUCUCAUCUUCUUAUUCCACCCGGCUUCCAUGAUUGUUGCAGAGGAGGAGGAGGAAGGGGAUGGCAAAAUCUCGGGAGAGAAAAAAACCGGCAAGCAAGUGAGAAGGAUGUCAUGGCAGACGUACGUUGACGAGCCGCUGCUCUGCGACAUCGACGACCGGCGCCUCACCGCCGCCCCAUCCUCGGCCACGACGGCGCUGCCUGGGCACAGUCCGAGUCCUUCCCCGAGGUCCUCCUUCUUCGUUAAAUUAUCUACAUCUACUGCUCCCAUUGAUACUCCUUGUUCUGUUUUACUUAGUUUACCUGGUCAAUCUAUGUUUGACUUGACUGAGAUCUCGCUUGUCCGGGUGGCUGCGAGCUUGAUGAGUUGGAACGCUGCUGGUUGGAGGGGUGGGGGAGCGCCUAGAUUUCAAGUCAAACCUGAAGAACUUACUGCAGUAAUAAAUGACUUCGAUGAACCACCUACUUUGGCACCAACUGGAUUAUUCCUUGGUGGUACAAACGACAUCACGCUCAAGGCCGUCUUCGAGGACAUCGACAAGUUCUACCUCAUCAUGGAGCUCUGCAACGGCGGCCGCUUGCUGGACGAGAUGGCCAGGGACAUUAAGCCGGAAUAUAUUUUGCUCACCGGAAACAGGGAAGAUGAAACUAGCAGAUUUUGGAUAGGCAGCAUGAGUCACCAAUGCAAGCACGAAGCGGCUGCGAGCACGCCACCGGUGUUGGGUCGAUGGUGUCAUGCCUUAGCGGCCCCCUCUUCCCCGAGCUCCAGAUCCUUGGCACCAGCAGUGAGCUUGGCGACUAAACUUGGCGACAAGCUCCCCGUCUCUAUUCUCGUGCACUUCUUGCUGCAUGUAUCCUCCGUCUCUAUUCUUAGGAGACAUGCUGAAGAGUGUCUUCCUCUUGUUGCUUCGCAGGGCAUGUCAAGAACUGGCAGCCAAGGAUCUCCAUGGACUGAGUGGCAUUUCUUGGUGAUAUUACAAUUUGAGCAUUCGGUUUGA
RNAcentral lists this ribosomal RNA (1743 nucleotides) under Triticum aestivum (bread wheat). Its description in RNAcentral is "partial small subunit ribosomal RNA". The record is from RNAcentral. Lineage: Eukaryota; Viridiplantae; Streptophyta; Magnoliopsida; Poales; Poaceae.